GAGUUUGAUCCUGGCUCAGAGUGAACGCUGGCGGCGUGCUUAACACAUGCAAGUCGAACGAGAACGGGUUAUAGUUUACUAUAACUGUCAGCUAAGUGGCGCACGGGUGAGUAAUAUAUAGGUAACGUGCCCUAGAGAGGGGGAUAACAUUUGGAAACGAAUGCUAACACCCCAUAUGCCUUUAUCCCAUAAGGGAGCAAGGGAAAUAUUUAUAGCUCUAGGAUCGGCCUGUACGGUAUCAGUUUGUUGGUGAGGUAAUGGCUCACCAAGACUAUGACGCCUAACUGGUUUGAGAGGAUGAUCAGUCACACCGGAACUGAGACACGGUCCAGACUCCUACGGGAGGCAGCAGUGGGGAAUAUUGCACAAUGGACGAAAGUCUGAUGCAGCAACGCCGCGUGGAGGAUGACACAUUUCGGUGCGUAAACUCCUUUUAUAUAGGAAGAUAAUGACGGUACUAUAUGAAUAAGCACCGGCUAACUCCGUGCCAGCAGCCGCGGUAAUA
RNAcentral lists this ribosomal RNA (505 nucleotides) under uncultured bacterium. Its description in RNAcentral is "bacterial SSU rRNA". It matches the Rfam family "Bacterial small subunit ribosomal RNA", at positions 9 to 525 of the family's 1533-position model. The record is from RNAcentral.